GGAACUUGCUAGUAAUGGCAGGUCAGCAUACUGCCGUGAAUACGUUCCCGGGCCUUGUACACACCGCCCGUCCACACCAUGAGAGUUGGGAAUACCCGAAGCCUGUGAGCCGACCGAAAGGGGCAGCAGUCGAAGGUAGAAUCAAUGAUUGGGGUGAAGUCGUAACAAGGUACC
RNAcentral lists this ribosomal RNA (174 nucleotides) under uncultured bacterium. RNAcentral describes it as "partial 16S ribosomal RNA". It matches the Rfam family "Bacterial small subunit ribosomal RNA", at positions 1327 to 1500 of the family's 1533-position model. The record is from RNAcentral.